RNAcentral lists this long non-coding RNA (833 nucleotides) under Gallus gallus (chicken). RNAcentral describes it as "lncRNA (ENSGALG00010028668.1)". The record is from RNAcentral. Lineage: Eukaryota; Metazoa; Chordata; Aves; Galliformes; Phasianidae.
GGAUCCAGCCUUUAGGUGGGGAGCGUGUUUUGCAGUGGCUCUCCUAACUCUUCAGGAGCUCUAACUCGACUUUCUGCACUGCUCUCCGAGCAAAAGGAAUCAUGCAAACAUCAUGCAAAGAACACACGCUUUGAGCACAGCGCGGGAGAGGUGGUGCAGCCUGGAGAAGGACUAUAAAAAAAGCCCUCGGUGGUGUGUGGGAAGGCUUAGGGGAAUAUUUCAGCACAUCAGGAGCUGAAUCACUGCAUGUAGGUGGAGCCAGACAGAUUGACAAGAUCUGCAACUUGAAAAAUGACCUAAGCCUGAGAUCAAUCAUCUCGCAAAGUCGCUGACGGAGGGGAACAACAGAUGGAUGUGGAUGGAGGUGAGGAGGCUCCACGUCAGCGUGGCGUGGAAAAAUGCACUGGGCACACACACUGUGCUGACCAACCCGUGUGCCCCCCCGUGCACACACAGAUGCAUCCCGUGCAGUGCAAAAGGCUGAGCACACCUCUUCUCCUGUCACCUCCCAGCGUCAGCGCCACCAAAACUUUCUCUCCUGCUGCAGCAGCACAUCAGGAAGGCACGCUGGGGGAAGCCGUGAGCAGACGUCUCGUUGCCAUGCAUGGGAUUAAUGAAGGAUGCAGCUUCCAGAAAGCCCAAACUCGGGGCCUAUUCAUCGCAAGAGCUGUACUUUGUCCAUGCAAAUGCACACAGCUCUCCUCAGCUGAGCAGUUCCUGAGCUCUGCCACUAGAGACAAACCACCACCAGGUCACUCCCUGCCCUACUAUUCCAGUUCUGCACCAUCUCGAAGCAUUUCCCUUUGUGACCCCGCGAGGUACCAAGAACGCAC